GAUGAACGCUGGCGGCGUGCCUAAUACAUGCAAGUCGAGCGAACAGACGAGGAGCUUGCUCCUCUGACGUUAGCGGCGGACGGGUGAGUAACACGUGGAUAACCUACCUAUAAGACUGGGAUAACUUCGGGAAACCGGAGCUAAUACCGGAUAAUAUAUUGAACCGCAUGGUUCAAUAGUGAAAGACGGUUUUGCUGUCACUUAUAGAUGGAUCCGCGCCGCAUUAGCUAGUUGGUAAGGUAACGGCUUACCAAGGCAACGAUGCGUAGCCGACCUGAGAGGGUGAUCGGCCACACUGGAACUGAGCCACGGUCCAGACUCCUACGGGAGGCAGCAGUAGGGAAUCUUCCGCAAUGGGCGAAAGCCUGACGGAGCAACGCCGCGUGAGCGAUGAAGGUCUUCGGAUCGUAAAACUCUGUUAUUAGGGAAGAACAAAUGUGUAAGUAACUAUGCACGUCUUGACGGUACCUAAUCAGAAAGCCACGGCUAACUACGUG
Molecule: ribosomal RNA, 497 nt
Filed under: uncultured bacterium
Lineage: Bacteria
Description: partial 16S ribosomal RNA
Rfam family: Bacterial small subunit ribosomal RNA
Source: RNAcentral